UUAUAGCUUGGUUGGUAGAGCAUGAGACUUCAUCUCAGGGUGAUGUGUUCAAGCCCCAUGCUGGACAA
Molecule: non-coding RNA, 68 nt
Organism: Podarcis lilfordi (Lilford's wall lizard)
Lineage: Eukaryota; Metazoa; Chordata; Lepidosauria; Squamata; Lacertidae
Source: the annotation of a GenBank genome assembly